This is a long non-coding RNA of Cavia porcellus (domestic guinea pig), 1954 nucleotides long. RefSeq lists it as uncharacterized. The record is from RefSeq and is a predicted model, not a curated record. NCBI's taxonomy places the organism in Eukaryota, Metazoa, Chordata, Mammalia, Rodentia, Caviidae. The transcript has 4 exons.
CAGCAGCCAUGAACUGCAGCCCAGCCAUGCCUGCCUGUCUUGGAGACAACUGAGUGUUGACUGAAACCUCCAAAAACUAUGUUUCUUCAAAAAGUCAUUUCAUCUAUAUAUUCCAUUAAUCACCAAAGGUUUCUUUUUCUUUUCAGAGAUAAUCUGCCUGGAUGAUGUGAUUGUUUGCAUUUCAGGAAACUCACAGGUUGAAGAGCAAAUUCAGGACCUCCUGCCUGACCUACACCCCAGCAUCUCUUUGGACACAUUCUAACCUUGUAUAUCAUCAUCGCAAGUGAACCAUCCUCUCUACUCAUUACUACUUUGGAGUUUCAGACCUCAAAUUUUCACAUCUUAAUUCAAUAUUAAACACAUACAUUUACAUGAUUGAAUAUUUUGGAUAUAAAACGUCUUUUACCAGUAUUUGAAUGUAUCCAAUAUGUUCGCAGCCUUAUUUGACAGGUGCAAAACUCAAAGUAGAGGAAGUAGUAUGCACGUGUCCCCAAAACAAACAUAACAUUUUACUUGGAAUUAAAUAUGUGUCAGCCAUUGUCCUAAUUGUCUUACAUAUGGAAUCUCACUGCAAUUAAACUAAACUCAUAUACAAUAGACUUCACAUACCAAUUUGCUCAGAUUAAUGAAAGAAUGAAGAUCAGGUGAAAAAUAGAAUCUCAACUUUAGUACCUAGUCAUUCCUAAUUUAUUAUCUACGUAAUAACAAGCAGAAAGAAAGUGUCCAUGGGUUUGAAAAUUUGCAUUUUAUUUAAAAUCGUAAUUACUUAGCUUUUUCCCCAACAUUUGAACAGUUAUUAUUUUCCCAGGAGGCUCCAAUGGUAGAAUUUAACAAUGAAUUACUGUUGAUUGAGCCUAAACUUGAGCUCAUGAUCACAUUAACUGGACUACAUUUAUCUUGUUUCAGGUAUUGGAAUUACCGUAUAAUUCCAUUCUGUAAAUGUGUACACAACAUCAUAUCAUGCAGAUGUUAAAGAAAGAUUAAUGGUUAGCCCACCAACUAUGUUGUCAUUUUGUCAGUUUCUCAAGGAAAAACUGCUAUUUCCAGUUACAGUCUAAGGAAGAUAGUGAAUGUAAAUCGCAGUGCUUCCAAUGAAAAAGCAAGAGAAUGUUACCAUCAUCCCAAUGUGCAAAUGGAAAUAAACCUCAUUGGCCAAGUUUUCUCAUUAACCUCCUAUCAACUUGACCAAUCUGUUUCCUUUGCACUUCCAUAUUGAGAGAGAAAGGCAAUACAUUUAUUUUGAAUCUUACUAUUUUAAAUAUACCACACAACUUUAUGAUGGCCUAUCAAUUACCAUCAAUGCCUUGAACUGUCCUCAUCAUAUACAGCACAAAGAGGCUGUUAAUGAUCCGGAUCACUGGAGUCAUAAUAAUCAACAAAACAUCCAUAAUCUGACUGCUUUCCUCAUAACUCAAGAAAGGUCACUUCAAAGCACAUUUUUCAUAAUCAUUUUCUCUCUUUAAGCCACUGGAGUAGGGCUGGGGAUUUGACUAUCUGGCAAGCAUGAGGUUGUGAAUUUGAUCCCUGAUACAGAAACAAAAACAAAAACAACAAUAACAAAAAACCCACUGGUGUAUAUUUAUUUAACAUAAUAGUGAUGCUUGCUUUGGAAAAUUGGUACACACCUGUAAUAAAUAUUGUCAUUUUCAAUUUGUUAUCCACCAAGUUUAUUGAGCACCUUCCCUAAAUACAAAAGUUUAUCUUGUAUUUUCCAGUCAUUAUACUUUUAUUUUGCACGUUAUUUUAUUUACAUUCUAGAUUUUCCAUCCAAGAGAAAGCAUGCAAAUAAAAUUUUCUGGUUAUGAUAAAUUAUAGAAAUGCACUGUAGCCUAAGGUAAAGUCUCAUUUACUUUGGAACUACUAGGUAAAAGUUGCUCAACAUAUUUUAUCAAGAAUCUUGUGCCUAUGUCUUUCUAAAAAGAUGUCUAUGAGAACCAUUUGUUAAUCUUUUUCA